Molecule: unclassified non-coding RNA, 426 nt
Filed under: plant metagenome
Description: partial contains 5.8S ribosomal RNA, internal transcribed spacer 2, and large subunit ribosomal RNA
Rfam family: 5.8S ribosomal RNA (bases 1-105)
Source: RNAcentral
GAAAUGCGAUAAGUAAUGUGAAUUGCAGAAUUCAGUGAAUCAUCGAAUCUUUGAACGCACCUUGCGCUCCUUGGUAUUCCUUGGAGCAUGCCUGUUUGAGUAUCAUGAAAUCUUCAAAGUAAAUCUUUUGUUAACUCAAUUGGUUUCUACUUUGGUAUUGGAGGUCUUUGCAGCUUCACACCUGCUCCUCUUUGUUCAUUAGCUGGAUCUCAGUGUUAUGCUUGGUUCCACUCGGCGUGAUAAGUUAUCUAUCGCUGAGGACACUGUAAAAGGUGGCCAAGGUAAAUGCAGAUGAACCGCUUCUAAUAGUCCAUUGACUUGGACAAUACUUUUAUGAUCUGAUCUCAAAUCAGGUAGGACUACCCGCUGAACUUAAGCAUAUCAAUAAGCGGAGGAAAAGAAACUAACAAGGAUUCCCCUAGUAAC